Molecule: non-coding RNA, 26 nt
Filed under: Mus musculus (house mouse)
Lineage: Eukaryota; Metazoa; Chordata; Mammalia; Rodentia; Muridae
Source: RNAcentral
GAUAUCCUUUUUUUACGACCUGUUGA